UACAGAGGGUGCAAGCGUUGUUCGGAAUUAUUGGGCGUAAGGCGCGUGUAGGCGGCUUUGCAAGUCGGGUGUGAAAGCCCUCAGCUCAACUGAGGAAGUGCGCCCGAAACUGCAGAGCUUGAGUGCCGGAGAGGGUGGCGGAAUUCCCCAAGUAGAGGUGAAAUUCGUAGAUAUGGGGAGGAACACCGGUGGCGAAGGCGGCCACCUGGACUGUACCUGACGCUGACACGCGAAAGCUAGGGGAGCGAACGGG
Molecule: ribosomal RNA, 253 nt
Filed under: uncultured bacterium
Lineage: Bacteria
Description: partial 16S ribosomal RNA
Rfam family: Bacterial small subunit ribosomal RNA
Source: RNAcentral